UAAAUUUUCUUCUUGAAUCAAAAAGUAGCAAGAGAUGAAGAACUGUUGGAAGUAUUGAGCUAACCAAGCAUGCUCGAGGGAAUGAGGAGACCAUUAAAAGCAGGUGGAUGGACUGGCCUCCCUUCUUGCCAAAGGCUUCUUAGGAACCUGGCUUCCAGACUGCUGGGGUUUGUCUUGCCCAAACCAUGCAGCACCGAGCUCCUGGGGUGUUUCACCAUCAGCCCAGCCCCGCUCCGGGCUCUGCUCACGGCUCCCCUUCGGCACCUCCUCGGGGAGAGAUCCGGCAGCACCGGCACCGCUCCCCACGAGGGAACGGCAGGAGGAGACGGGCACGCACUGUUCUGUCUCUGCAUCACUUCUCAGACUUACUCAGAAAAUGUUUCUGCAUUAAAGCAUAUUUCAGUAUUUCUGGAGGUCAAAUGGAACAUUCUGAGUUCGCUCUGUUCAAAUCAGUUAUAUGUAAAAAGAAAUAUAUUUAGAAGAAUUAUUAAAUACUCCAGAAGACAAUUGGACAUAUAAGCUGGAAUUUCUCUGUAGAUUUUUAAGUAAAAAAAUCUGUUAAAAGAAAUCCUGUUAGAUCUUCCCUCCUGCUUUAGCAGUUAGAGGAAUAUUUAUAUAAAAAUAAUGAUUUGUAAAGCAGGCACUGCAUUUGAGGGGCUAAGAACAGGAUGUAGUGCUGGGUUUGGGGGCCUCAGAAUUGAGACCUAAUCAGGCAAUUUUGGGUUUUCCCAGACCCAAAUCACUGCUGUGUUUCAGGGGCUCAGAACCAGACCUACUUGAUCCAUUUUUGGGCUCCCAAAGACAGACCAAAGGCUGUAUUUAGGGGUCUCAAAAUUCAGGUUCAGCACUUAAAAUCAGAGACUAAAUCCUGCAUUUUGGACACUGAAACCGGGGUCAUAUGGUUGGAUUUGGUGCUCAGGAAGAGUGACUAAGCCCUGUGCUUUUUCAGGGCUUAAGUCAGAGACCAAAUGUAUAUCUGAGGGCCUCAAGAACAGAGACCAAGUCCUGUGUUUUGGGACCUUGAAACCACUCAACCGGGCUUGAGGGUCACUCAGCCUGGAGACCAAUUUUGGGGGCGUGCCUUGGGCACAGCCCGGUGCCGCGCUCACCCGGCCCGGCGAGAGCUCGGAACCGGCGGCGCGGACGCGCCUCUGGGGCUGGCGGCGGAGCCGCGGUGCCGCGUUUCGGGGCUCGGCCCGGGGCGCUUUCAGGGCUCAGAGCCGAGCCCGAACCCCGCGUUUGGGGCCACGGGCAGAGCCCAACCCCGCGCGUCGGGCUCAGCACGGGACCGCGGGGGCUGCUCCGGCACCGGCAGCGCCCCGAGCCCCGCGGCCGGAGCGGGACAGCGCCCGGGGCCCCGAGCCCCGCGCCAGUGCAGGGCACCGCGAGGAUCCGGGCAACGUGCGGC
RNAcentral lists this long non-coding RNA (1408 nucleotides) under Junco hyemalis (dark-eyed junco). RNAcentral's name for it is "lncRNA (ENSJHYG00000006533.1)". The record is from RNAcentral. Lineage: Eukaryota; Metazoa; Chordata; Aves; Passeriformes; Passerellidae.